Molecule: ribosomal RNA, 757 nt
Filed under: Squamarina cartilaginea
Lineage: Eukaryota; Fungi; Ascomycota; Lecanoromycetes; Lecanorales; Squamarinaceae
Description: SSU rRNA
Rfam family: Bacterial small subunit ribosomal RNA
Source: RNAcentral
UGUAUAGUAAUAGCUGAUUGCGUUAACAAAUAGUUGAUGCAAGAUUGACUCUGUCAAAUAAAAUUCUAGGCAGAAUUAUGAUAAUGACAUUGUCUGCCUAUAUGUCUUGACCAAAUUACGUGCCAGCUGUCGCGGUAAUACGUAGAAGACUAGUGUUAUUCAUCUUUAAUAGGUUUAAAGGGUACCUAGACGGUAAAUAAAGCCUUAGUCGGGACUAAUUUGCUAGAGUUACUUAUGAGGGGGUAUUAAAGUACUGAUGGUGUAGAGAUGAAAUUCUGUCAUACCUCUUUUCGAAAGAAAAAUUACGGCACAGGUAUAGGCGAAAGCAUCCCCUUAUGUGAUAACUGACGUUGAGGGACGAAGGCUUUGUGUAGCGAACAGGAUUAGAUACCCCAAUAGUCAAAGCAGAGAAUGAUGAAUGUCAUAGAUUAGAUUAUUAGUUUAUUCUAUAAAUGAAAGUGUAAGCAUUCCACCUUAAGAGUAAUUUGGCAACAUUGGAACUGAAAUCAUUAGACCGUUUCUGAAACCAGUAGUGAAGUAUGUUGUUUAAUUUGAUAAUCCGCAAAAAACCUUACCACAAUUUGAAUAUUUAUAUUUACCUUUUUCUUUAGUCUAAAGAAAAAGGUUAUAUAUUUACAAGCGUUGCACGGCUGUCUUCAGUUAAUGUCGCGAGACUUUGGUUAGCUCCAUGAAAUUAACGUAAACCCUUACUUUAUUUUUAUAUAAAGUAGUUCCCCGCUAUAUUGGAUCUGAUAAC